UAACGAAACGAUAAUUUGUCAACAAUGAGAAUCAGAUACUUGGCUUAAUAAUUUUCAUUUAAAAUGUUUAAUUUGGAUAUAAUUCGGAAUACAAAACGAAACUUAAAAGGUAUUGAAAACAACAACGUUCAAUAGAACAAUGUGGAUUUCAAUAGAAAGACUAUUUCCACCGACAAUCAGGAUUUCCGGUAUGACCACUGUUAUUUUGACGAUUUUCCUAUCGGUUCGUCGGUAAGCGUGACCACAUGUGACAACAGCGAUGCUAGUUGGAUAUAAAAUUGGUAGACGUGUCGUUGAACUCGACACAUUGACCGAAUCGCUUUUAGCAUGCAGUGCUUGUCAAGUGCCCAUGAAUUUACUUAACACUGUAGAAAGCAGGGAUUUCGGACUGGCAUGUGUUUUGGACAUACAGUUUAGCAAUUGUGGUGCAGUAAAUAAUGUGGCUACUGGACGGAAACAUGGCAGAGUUUAUGACAUGAUCACAAAGCUUGCAUUUGGGUAAAUCAAAAACUGGGUGUUUCACCUGGGACUUUCACAUCGAAACUGGCCCUUCUCCAUGACCUUCAGCACAAAAAAAGAAAGGCUAUAACUGUUACUCGUGCAGCAAAACAGUGACGCAUAAGACUUAAAACUCGAACGGCAUUCAAAGGACAGUGCAAGAAGUACAAGCGGGACCAACAUACAGUUCAAACAUAGAGGACCAAGACGUUGAAGUUACAACUAUACCCCCACCUAUACCCAAGCCUGGUCCAGCAGGGCUAGACACUACUGGGAAGGAAUUUGUUUUCUUUGAUUUGGAAACAAGAGGGUUAGAGCACACUUCUCACAUAAUUCAGAUAGCUGCAGUGCAUUCAACUGGUCAGAAGAUUUCCUUGCAAGCGUCAGAAAUAACUGGAGUGACAGUUGUUAGCGACUCUAUGCUUGUCAAGAGACAAACAGUAACAGCUGUCCCCAUCAAAUCUGCAUUGACAAGUUUUAUAACAUUCUUACAGAAAUGUUCACAAAUUAUUUUAGUUGGGCAUAAUAUAGAGUCUUUUGAUUGUAAAGUGUUGCUCCGUGCUAUCCAUCCUUGUUGAAAAAUGUUUGAGUUUCAGCAAAAUAUUUGUGGCUUUUUAGAUACUUAAAAAUGUUAAAGGAAAUAUUACCAAAUAUGAAAUCAUAUUAGCGGGAACAUUUAGUUAAAGACGUCAUUGGUGAAUUAUACAUGGCACAUGGCGCUAUACAGGAUAUUUUAGCUUUACAAAAGUUAGUGAACUCUGUUCCUCUUGACCAAAAAUUGUUAACAAAUAUUCAUUCAGCUUUUACCGAGCAGUGUUAACAUACAAUGUGUAACUAAAUGUUGCUUCCAACAUUAAAUCUUUACAAACCAUAAUUGAUACAAAAGUUAUAAGUCAAGGUAUUGCAAGGAAAGUUGCAGGAAGUGGAUUUCAACUUAAACAUUUGAGUCCUGUAUCAAAAAGAAACGGACUGAGUGGUUUGAGGAGCCCCCUUUCAGAGGUUACAAACGGACAAAUCAGAGUAACAAAAUCAGAGAAAAUAAUAUGUACAAUAGCGAGUUAUUUGUUGCCUGACAUCUAACCAAUUGUAAUUUGCAUCUUGUAUAUAGAUAAGCUAUGAAAUCUAAUAGCUGUUACAUCAUUGUUUUUCCUUCUCGAUGACGAACAUAGUUGUGAUUCUUAUGUCAGUUGUAUUUCUCAUGUUUCACCUAAGUUGUAAGAUAUUUUUGGCAGUGCAUUAAACCACAGAUGGUGUGUGAAACAUAA
Molecule: long non-coding RNA, 1763 nt
Organism: Dreissena polymorpha
Lineage: Eukaryota; Metazoa; Mollusca; Bivalvia; Myida; Dreissenidae
Exons: 4
Source: RefSeq, a predicted model, not a curated record